CCUACGAGGUGCUGCAGUGGGGAAUAUUGCACAAUGGGGGAAACCCUGAUGCAGCGACGCCGCGUGAGUGAAGAAGUAAUUCGUUACGUAAAGCUCUAUCAGCAGGGAAGAAAAUGACUGUACCUGAGUAUGAAGCCUCGGCUAACUACGGGCCAGCAGUCGCUGUAAGACGUAGGGCGCAAGCGUUAUCCGGAUUUACUGGGUGUAAAGGUAGCGUAGACGGUGGGCCAAGUCUGGAGUGAAAUGCCGCAGCUUAACUGCGGAACUGCUUUGGAAACUGGCGAACUAGAGUGCGGGAGGGGUAAGCGGAAUUCCUAGUGUAGCGGUGAAAUGCGUAGAUAUUAGGAGGAACACCGGUGGCGAAGGCGGCUUACUGGACCGUAACUGACGGUGAGGCUCGAAAGCGUGGGGAGCAAACAGGAUUAGAUACCCUGGUAGUC
This 440-nucleotide ribosomal RNA is filed under the name uncultured bacterium. Its description in RNAcentral is "partial 16S ribosomal RNA". It matches the Rfam family "Bacterial small subunit ribosomal RNA", at positions 338 to 795 of the family's 1533-position model. The record is from RNAcentral.